RNAcentral lists this unclassified non-coding RNA (333 nucleotides) under uncultured fungus. RNAcentral's name for it is "partial contains 5.8S ribosomal RNA and internal transcribed spacer 2". The stretch from base 1 to 133 matches the Rfam family "5.8S ribosomal RNA", at positions 22 to 154 of the family's 154-position model. The record is from RNAcentral. Lineage: Eukaryota; Fungi.
UGGUUCUGGCAUNGAUGAAGAACGCAGCGAAAUGCGAUAAGUAAUGUGAAUUGCAGAAUUCAGUGAAUCAUCGAAUCUUUGAACGCACAUUGCGCCCUCUGGUAUUCCGGGGGGCAUGCCUGUUCGAGCGUCAUUACACCUCUCAAGCCUCGCUUGGUAUUGGAGACAGUGGUUAAUCUAUUAGCUGCUUCUCUUGAAAUUUUCGGCCGAGUCUUCUGAUCUCACCGGCGUUGUGCAAACAAAUUCCGCCCAUCGAGUGAUUAAGAACUUCUGUCUGCCGUUAAGCACUUUUUAUCAAAGGUUGACCUCGGAUCAGGUAGGGAUACCCGCUGA